Molecule: ribosomal RNA, 253 nt
Filed under: uncultured bacterium
Lineage: Bacteria
Description: partial 16S ribosomal RNA
Rfam family: Bacterial small subunit ribosomal RNA
Source: RNAcentral
UACGAGGGGGGCGAGCGUUGUUCGGAAUUACUGGGCGUAAAGGGCGCGUAGGCGGCCUUCUAAGUCGAACGUGAAAUCCCCGGGCUCAACCCGGGAACUGCGUCCGAUACUGGAAGGCUUGAAUCCGGGAGAGGGAUGUGGAAUUCCAGGUGUAGCGGUGAAAUGCGUAGAUAUCUGGAGGAACACCGGUGGCGAAGGCGACAUCCUGGACCGGUAUUGACGCUGAGGCGCGAAAGCCAGGGGAGCAAACGGG